This 478-nucleotide ribosomal RNA is filed under the name uncultured bacterium. RNAcentral's name for it is "partial 16S ribosomal RNA". It matches the Rfam family "Bacterial small subunit ribosomal RNA", at positions 28 to 523 of the family's 1533-position model. The record is from RNAcentral.
GACGAACGCUGGCGGCGUGCCUAACACAUGCAAGUCGAACGGUAAGGCCCUUCGGGGUACACGAGUGGCGAACGGGUGAGUAACACGUGGGUGAUCUGCCCUGCACUUCGGGAUAACCCUGGGAAACUGGGUCUAAUACCGGAUAGGACCCUGGGAUGCAUGUACUGGGGUGGAAAGCUUUUGCGGUGUGGGAUGGGCCCGCGUCCUAUCAUCGUGUUGGUGGGGGGAUGGCCUACCAAGGCGACGACGGGUAGCCGGCCUGAGAGGGUGACCGGCCACACUGGGACUGUGGUACGGCCCAGACGCCUAUGGGGGGCAUCAGUGGGGAAUAUUGCACAAUGGGCGCAAGCCUGAUGCAGCGACGCAACGUGAGGGAUGACGGCCUUCGGGUUGUAAACCUCUUUCAGCACCGACGAAGCGCAAGUGACGGUAGGUGCAGAAGAAGGACCGGCCAACUACGUGCCAGCCGCCGCAGUAA